AGCGAACGCUGGCGGCAGGCUUAACACAUGCAAGUCGAGCGGGCAUCCUUGUGGUGUCAGCGGCAGACGGGUGAGUAACGCGUGGGAACGUGCCCUUCGGUUCGGAAUAACUCAGGGAAACUUGAGCUAAUACCGGAUACGUGCGAGAGCAGAAAGGUUUAUCUGCCGAAGGAUCGGCCCGCGUCUGAUUAGCUAGUUGGUGAGGUUAUGGCUCACCAAGGCGACGAUCAGUAGCUGGUCUGAGAGGAUGAUCAGCCACACUGGGACUGAGACACGGCCCAGACUCCUACGGGAGGCAGCAGUGGGGAAUAUUGGACAAUGGGGGCAACCCUGAUACAGCCAUGCCGCGUGAGUGAUGACGGCCUUAGGGUUGUAAAGCUCUUUUCUCCGGGACGAUAAUGACGGUACCGGAGGAAUAAGCCCCGGCUAACUUCGUG
This 437-nucleotide ribosomal RNA is filed under the name uncultured bacterium. Its description in RNAcentral is "partial 16S ribosomal RNA". It matches the Rfam family "Bacterial small subunit ribosomal RNA", at positions 29 to 507 of the family's 1533-position model. The record is from RNAcentral.